CCCAUAAGUUCAAUUCUAUCUGGUAGUAAGAUAUAUCAUGAUCUCCACCAUAGUAUCAUUGAAACUUCUUUCAAUGGAUUGAAAUAAUUCUAACUCUUAUCUAUCAAGAAUCAUCAAUCUAUUAUGAUCCUAGUAAGCUCUUACAAUCUAUCAGUGACAUCUAGCAAUAUAUAGUGGCAAGCCAGCAGAACUGAAGAGAUAAACCUCUAGAUGUAGUUAUCGUAUGAUCUGAUUCUUCUAUCGUGAGUUUCGAUAGGACCGAGAUCAAGAUUAACUCGUCAAAUCUCAUCACUAUCAUUUGAUAGAAUCAUUCGAUUCAAGUCUGAUAUAAAAUUCAAUAGAAAUAUUUUUCUA
RNAcentral lists this long non-coding RNA (354 nucleotides) under Elaeis guineensis (African oil palm). RNAcentral describes it as "long non-coding RNA (EGUI_LNC033445)". The record is from RNAcentral. Lineage: Eukaryota; Viridiplantae; Streptophyta; Magnoliopsida; Arecales; Arecaceae.